GGGUUCGAUUCUGACUCAGGACGAACGCUGGCGGCACGCUUAACACAUGCAAGUCGAACGAGCGAAAGGUGCUUGCACCUCUAGCUAGUGGCGGACGGGUGAGUAACACGUGAGCAAUCUGCCUUUCGGUGGGGGAUACCAAUUGGAAACGAUUGUUAAUACCCCAUAACAUGACGAAGCCGCAUGACUUUGUUAUCAAAGAUUUAUUGCCGAAAGAUGAGCUCGCGUCUGAUUAGGUAGUUGGUGAGGUAACGGCUCACCAAGCCGACGAUCAGUAGCCGGACUGAGAGGUUGAACGGCCACAUUGGGACUGAGACACGGCCCAGACUCCUACGGGAGGCAGCAGUGGGGAAUAUUGCACAAUGGGCGAAAGCCUGAAUGCAGCGAUGCCGCGUGAGGGAAGAAGGUUUUAGGAUUGUAAACCUCUGUCUUCGGGGACGAUAAUGACGGUACCCGAGGAGGAAGCUCCGGCUAACUACGUGCCAGCAGCGGC
Molecule: ribosomal RNA, 493 nt
Filed under: uncultured bacterium
Lineage: Bacteria
Description: bacterial SSU rRNA
Rfam family: Bacterial small subunit ribosomal RNA
Source: RNAcentral